Molecule: transfer RNA, 70 nt
Filed under: Mesoplodon grayi (Gray's beaked whale)
Lineage: Eukaryota; Metazoa; Chordata; Mammalia; Artiodactyla; Ziphiidae
Description: tRNA-Trp
Source: RNAcentral
AGAAGUUUAGGUUAAACCAGACCAAGAGCCUUCAAAGCCCUAAGUAAGUGUAGUCCACUUAACUUCUGCC